Rosa rugosa (rugosa rose) is the source of this 1277-nucleotide long non-coding RNA. RefSeq lists it as uncharacterized. The record is from RefSeq and is a predicted model, not a curated record. The transcript has 4 exons. Lineage: Eukaryota; Viridiplantae; Streptophyta; Magnoliopsida; Rosales; Rosaceae.
UCUCUCUUGAUCUCUUUCCCUUUCGCGUCUUUCUUCCUCUGCUUUCACCCAAAACUUCAAGCUUCCUCUCCUCUCACCCAAAACUUCGAGCUUCCUCUCUUCAAGUUUCUUUUUUCUUCUUGAAUAUUAGGCACAUGGAUCAAAAUGUUUCAGAUUCAUCUUCAGAUGCUGCAAAUGAGGAAUUUUGGGAUCUUGCCAAUUCAUCAUCAGACGAAGAAUUGAUGAAUCUGCAAAUUACUGCUCUACAAGAGAUGGGAAGAAGAAGACGCCGGCAAGAGAUGCGAAUUCAAUUAUGGAUAUUACGGUUUUAGUAAGCAGCUAUUAUCCACUAAUAUUGGAUAUUACAGUUUUACAUAAGAUUUUCAAUUUGUUGAUAUUUUUGGAUGAAUUGGGGAUUAGGUUGAAAAGGUUGAUGAAAGUGUCAAGGUUACAGUUAUUGAGGAAGACGACGAGUACUGGUUUCUUCCUCCCUCCAAAGUUACUAACAAGUUGGGUGAUGAUUCCAUCUUAAAGGCCUUAAGGCCUGUAACAGCCAUGCCAUUACAUAUGUUCCACAUUAUGACACCCUUGGAGCUAAGGAUGAAGCCGUGUUAUGUAGUUUUUGUGGGUCUCUCAGCUGGUACUAAAUCUUGUAUGUACAAAGUUUUUCAAGCUGUAAGUGUUUUGCUCAGUUCGAUGGUUUUUGCUCAGCAGUAAACAUGCAGAGUAGACAAUCAAUUUAUUAUCUGCAAUGCCUACAAGGUUUGUGCAUUUUGCCCCGUUUCAUAACUCUCUAUGGAUACAUCUACUAUGAAUCCUGAGCAGAGGGCAUGUUAUUCCAAACUUCAGAUGAAAAUUCUCCAAUGUGAUAUAUGAAGUGUGAGGUUGUUGGUUUGUUGGUUUCCAUUUUAGUUUGUAUCAGUUUGAGGUUUUGUCCAGUGAUCAUGUAUUUGACUGCUUGCAAACCCUUUAAGAAUGACUAUGUUUCCUGCUAUUUGACUGCUAGAACUGUGCAGUUUCUGUUUUUGUUUUCAAUCCAUUUCAGUUUGUAUCAGUUGGUUGGUUUCCAUGUAAGAUUCAGUGGACUUGUCAAUGUUAGCUGAAGUACACCAGCUCACAAGUUCAAACUAUUGUCUUCAACAAUGGCUGCAGCUCCAGGUAAAUUUAUGUAUUCUUAUAUUGAGCACAAUGAUCAUAUAUAUGCAUAUGUUAAGGUUUAAAACUUAUAUUUGGUAUCAGAGCCUUUGUGCUCAAGUAAGAAUCAACUUUUGCAAAAACUUUUUGACACAAAAUUUACA